This is a non-coding RNA of Peromyscus maniculatus bairdii (prairie deer mouse), 597 nucleotides long. The record is from RefSeq and is a predicted model, not a curated record. NCBI's taxonomy places the organism in Eukaryota, Metazoa, Chordata, Mammalia, Rodentia, Cricetidae.
UAGUGCUUGCCUACGAGGGGAGAAGUGUGGCGGGAGGACAGCCAUGGAGACCGCCCACCACUGCGUCCCUUGACCAUCUGCCCACAGCGGGGGCAAAGUCUAAAUCCUUCCGAAACAGAGCAGCGCACCAAAGGGCUAGAAGAAGCAUGCACCAAAACAAUAUGGUUCAGUUCAGGAAGAGCAAGGGGUCUGAGCCCACAGGCCUGCUGGGACUGGAGAACCACAAGUCAACGGGUCACGGGGAAGUUCCCGCCAAGAUGGUGGGCAGGGUCAGAAGGUGGGAAUAAGGAAAUGAAAGCAGAGAGGCAAGAAGCAGGUCACAACCUCUCUCACCUGAGGACUGCUGACAGGCCCGGAGAAUCCUGGGGGAGCCGGAGGGGGCAGGCCGGGGGACCCCAUGGAAGAACUGAUGACCGGGAAGGGGGAGCCCAGUGGAGGGGGUGGCAUUGGAGGUGGCUGCGCUGAAGGGGUCAGAGGUGGGCCAGGAGGAGAGGAGGGAGGGAUCCCCUGGGAAAGGGGGUUUGGAGAGGAGCUGUCUGGGCUUCGGGAAUCUGGGGGGGGGGGGGAGGUACACACAGGCAGACACACAGACAGGAG